RNAcentral lists this ribosomal RNA (97 nucleotides) under uncultured bacterium. Its description in RNAcentral is "partial 16S ribosomal RNA". It matches the Rfam family "Bacterial small subunit ribosomal RNA", at positions 1388 to 1482 of the family's 1533-position model. The record is from RNAcentral.
CACCGCCCGUCACACCAUGGAAGCCAGCUGUACCGGAAGUCGGUGCGCCAACCCGCAAGGGAGGUAGUCGCCUAUGGUAUGACUGGUGACUGGGGUG